GCAGGGGUAGCCAAGCCUGGCCAAAGGCGCUAGAUUGAGGGUCUAGUCCCUAGCGGUCCGUGUGUUCAAAUCGCACCCCCUGCACCA
Molecule: transfer RNA, 87 nt
Filed under: Methanomassiliicoccales archaeon
Lineage: Archaea; Methanobacteriati; Thermoplasmatota; Thermoplasmata; Methanomassiliicoccales
Description: tRNA-Leu
Rfam family: tRNA
About the family: Transfer RNA (tRNA) molecules are approximately 80 nucleotides in length. Their secondary structure includes four short double-helical elements and three loops (D, anti-codon, and T loops).
Source: RNAcentral